UUGGAUAGUCUGAGGCUUGCUUCUCUUUAGAGAGCAAGAUUGUAAUUGGCUUAGUUCUCUGAGCUGUAAAGACUAAGAGAGGGAGGUUGGGAGGUUACACAAUCAAUAUACAUCAAGAUUCUAUCAGUGGAGAAGCAGAAUUUUAUGUUAGAGUAGAAACUGAUCGAGUCGCUGAGGCUAUGACGCUGUCCAACGAGAUAUUGGAUUGUCUUCUCGACAUCUUCCAAGUCGUUUCUCACUCUCAUUAAGGACAUUCUCACCUUAACCUUUUGCAAUUCAGUUCCAAGCUCUUCCAUUCAAAGGAAUUAAUGUAUUCACCUUUUUCAGUUGCCUAUGGGAAAGCUGAUAAAACAUCUGGAGACAUAGAAACCCCAACCACUUUGAAAUGAUCCAAGUCCAAAUAUAUAGUCUUGUUUUGAUAUUUUAACAACCU
Molecule: long non-coding RNA, 433 nt
Filed under: Brassica napus (rape)
Lineage: Eukaryota; Viridiplantae; Streptophyta; Magnoliopsida; Brassicales; Brassicaceae
Description: long non-coding RNA (BNAP_LNC018160)
Source: RNAcentral